UACGGGGGGGGCAAGCGUUGUUCGGAAUUACUGGGCGUAAAGGGUUCGUAGGUGGCCCGCUAAGUCACACGUGAAAUCCCUCAGCUUAACUGGGGAACUGCGUGUGAGACUGGCAGGCUCGAGUGCAGGAGAGGAACGCGGAAUUCCAGGUGUAGCGGUGAAAUGCGUAGAUAUCUGGAGGAACACCGGUGGCGAAGGCGGCGUUCUGGACUGUAUCUGACACUGAGGAACGAAAGCCAGGGGAGCAAACGGG
RNAcentral lists this ribosomal RNA (253 nucleotides) under uncultured bacterium. Its description in RNAcentral is "partial 16S ribosomal RNA". It matches the Rfam family "Bacterial small subunit ribosomal RNA", at positions 524 to 776 of the family's 1533-position model. The record is from RNAcentral. RNAcentral also lists the same sequence under 1 other name.